CCCUUAGAUGUUCUGGGCCGCACGCGCGCUACACUGGUCGAUGCAACGAGUUUCUUUCCUUGGCCGACAGGCCUGGGCAAUCUUUGAACAUCGAUCGUGAUCGGGAUAGAUUCUUGUAAUUUUUGAUCUUAAACGAGGAAUUCCUAGUAAACGCAAGUCAUCAGCUUGCAUUGAUUACGUCCCUGCCCUUUGUACACACCGCCCGUCGCACCUACCGAUUGAAUGGUCCGGUGAAAUCUCCGGACUGGCGUGAGUCGGAGCAAUCUGACAAACACCGGAAAGUUGAUUAAACCUUACCAUUUAGAGGAAGGUGAANUCGUAACA
RNAcentral lists this ribosomal RNA (324 nucleotides) under uncultured eukaryote. RNAcentral describes it as "partial 18S ribosomal RNA". It matches the Rfam family "Eukaryotic small subunit ribosomal RNA", at positions 1470 to 1796 of the family's 1831-position model. The record is from RNAcentral.